UGGGGAAUAUUGGACAAUGGGCGAAAGCCUGAUCCAGCCAUGCCGCGUGUGGGAAGAAGGCCUUUUGGUUGUAAAGCACUUUAAGCGAGGAGGAGGCUACUUGGAUUAAUACUCUAGGAUAGUGGACGUUACUCGCAGAAUAAGCACCGGCUAACUCUGUGCCAGCAGCCGCGGUAAUACAGAGGGUGCGAGCGUUAAUCGGAUUUACUGGGCGUAAAGCGUGCGUAGGCGGCUUUUUAAGUCGGAUGUGAAAUCCCUGAGCUUAACUUAGGAAUUGCAUUCGAUACUGGGAAGCUAGAGUAUGGGAGAGGAUGGUAGAAUUCCAGGUGUAGCGGUGAAAUGCGUAGAGAUCUGGAGGAAUACCGAUGGCGAAGGCAGCCAUCUGGCCUAAUACUGACGCUGAGGUACGAAAGCAUGGGGAGCAAACAGG
This 430-nucleotide ribosomal RNA is filed under the name Bacillota bacterium. RNAcentral describes it as "Firmicutes bacterium partial 16S ribosomal RNA". It matches the Rfam family "Bacterial small subunit ribosomal RNA", at positions 355 to 776 of the family's 1533-position model. The record is from RNAcentral. Lineage: Bacteria; Bacillati; Bacillota.